Molecule: non-coding RNA, 24 nt
Filed under: Arabidopsis thaliana (thale cress)
Lineage: Eukaryota; Viridiplantae; Streptophyta; Magnoliopsida; Brassicales; Brassicaceae
Source: RNAcentral
CAAUAAGAUUCACAGACAUGAUGA